This is a non-coding RNA of Sceloporus undulatus (fence lizard), 453 nucleotides long. Lineage: Eukaryota; Metazoa; Chordata; Lepidosauria; Squamata; Phrynosomatidae. The record is from the annotation of a RefSeq genome assembly.
UCAAGAAUGAGAGUUCAUUUCAGAAACAUCCAAACAAUCAGAGACAUGAUCCUUUGGGUGAAUCUCCUCCUUCUGUUUCUAGUCCUCUCAGGUUGCCAUUCUCAGGUUCUGCUGGUGGAGACAGGAGGCACAGUUGUUGCACCUGAAGGCACCCUCCGUCUUUCCUGCAAGGCUUCAGGAUUCACUUUUUCUAGUCAUGAAAUGCAUUGGAUUCGUCAGCCAGCAGGGAAAGGACUUGAAUGGGUGGCUGGAGUAAGUGGCAGUGGAAGUAGCCAGUGGUAUAAUCCUAAGGUCUGGGGCAGGUUCACCGUCUUCAGGUACAAUUCUCAAGCUUCAGCCUAUCUGCAGAUGACAAGCCUAAAGUCUGAAGACUCUGCCAUGUAUUACUGUGCAAGAUACACAGUGAUUGCAGUUGGACAACACUUUAACUACUAUGGCUAUGGAAUUCUGGGA